GCUGACAUGUACUACGCUCACUGGCAUGAUAGAAUUUCUUUAAAUUCAUCAUGUCGUAAGGGAAAAUAAUGAUAUUACCUUACUAUGAGUGUCGUCCAAAGCUGGUGCCAGAAGACUCGGUAAGACCAGAGACGCAAACGUUAAUCAUCUUAAACAGGCGUAAAGGGUUUGUAGGCAGCUUUCAUAAUAUUAUUUCUUACAAAAAUAAAGAAGUGGUCUGAUUGAAAGCUAGAAUCAAAAAGAGGUUAUAGUGUAUAACGCCUAGAGGAGGGCUGAUAUCCUUAGAUCCUAGGCAGAAUACUUAGGGCGAAGGCCACUCUCCACUAAUGAUUGACGCUGAGAAACGAAGGUAAGGGUAGGAAAUAGGAUUAGAUACCCCGGUACUCCUUUCUGUAAACGAUGAAUGGUAGUCAUUAGUAAAAUUAACUAGAGACGAAGUUAACACAAUAACCAUUCCGCCUUGUGAGUACUACUGCAAAGUAGAAAACAAAAAAAUUAGUCGGUCUCGAAGCAAACGGAGUGAAGCAUGUUAUUUAAUUCAAUAAAUCCGC
This 551-nucleotide ribosomal RNA is filed under the name Sanguinoderma sp. RNAcentral describes it as "partial large subunit ribosomal RNA". It matches the Rfam family "Bacterial small subunit ribosomal RNA", at positions 382 to 964 of the family's 1533-position model. The record is from RNAcentral. Lineage: Eukaryota; Fungi; Basidiomycota; Agaricomycetes; Polyporales; Polyporaceae.